GUCUAUGGCCAUGCACCCUGAACAACCCCGAUCUCGUCUGAUCUCGGAAGUUAAGCAGGGUCGGGCCUGGUUAGUACUUGAAUGGGAGACUACGUAGGAAGACUAGGUGCUGUAGGAG
Molecule: ribosomal RNA, 118 nt
Filed under: Pteropus alecto (black flying fox)
Lineage: Eukaryota; Metazoa; Chordata; Mammalia; Chiroptera; Pteropodidae
Source: RNAcentral